Molecule: long non-coding RNA, 4538 nt
Organism: Arabidopsis lyrata subsp. lyrata
Lineage: Eukaryota; Viridiplantae; Streptophyta; Magnoliopsida; Brassicales; Brassicaceae
Exons: 6
Source: RefSeq, a predicted model, not a curated record
AAUUUUAAUGUUUCUGCAAAUCGAAGCCCUAAUUUUUCAAGUGCAUAGUUUCGACAAAUUUGUUAUUUCGCAAACCCAAAAGCCUUUCUUUAAAUUUCACGAUUUUGUUUUGAAAGAUUCUGGCUUUUGUUUGGGUUCAUGUUUCUAAAGAUUUGUUUUCAGUUUUCUGAAACAGAAACCCUAAAAUCAAUGAUUUUCUUUUAAAAGCAACGAAUUUGUUUAAAGUUUUAAGCUUUCUUAACCCCAAAAGAAAGGGACGACACAUUACAUGAUUGUGUUAUGUCCGGUUUCUAAAUUGGGAAAAUUGUCCCGAUGUUGUUGCCUCCUAAGUAAAGACUUGUCAAAUUGUUCUUAAGUAAAGACUUGCUGGCUGGGCAGCAUGAUAUAUCGACUUCAAUAAUCUGCAUAGACCUGUCUUUUUUAAGGCUUGUCUAAUAAUGAUGUCCCAAGAUUGAUAAAUUCAAAUCAAUGAUCUGCUUAAGUUCUAUAUCUUCUUGAGCUGGGAUAUCUUUAUCAAUGAUCUGCUUAUUGAUGGAGGGAUAAGGAGAUAAAUAUUCUUUGAUAAGGAUUGUCUAAUAAUGACAAAUUCAAUGAUCUGCUAAAGCUCUAUAUCUUCUUGAGCUGGGAUAUCUUAAUCAAUGAUCUGCUUAAGCUCUAUAUCUUGUUGAGCUGGGUUAUCUUUAUAUAAGAUUCAAUAAUCUGCUUAUUGACGAGGGAAAUGGAGAUUAAUGUUCUUUAAUAAAGCUUGUUUGCAUAACCAAAGUUCAUACUGGGCUGGGACAGUGUGGUUAAGUACGGAGAUCUCUCAAAUUUCUGCAUAGAUCUGCCUUGACAGGAGGUAAGUGUUCUUUAUUGAGGCUUAUCUAAUAUCGAUGGUCUGAGAUUGAAAAAUUCAAUACUCUGCUUUAAAUACUCAAGAAUCUGCAUAUUUGAUAGGAGAUAAGUGUUCUUUAUUGAGGCUAGUUUAAUAACGAUGGCCUGAGAUUGAAAACUUCAAUUCUCUGCUUCAAAUACUCAAAAAUCAGCAUAUUCAUAGGAGGUAAUGUUCUUUAUUGAGGCUUGUCUAAUAACGAUGGCCUGAGAUUAAAAACUUCAAAUACUCAAGAAUCUGCAUAUUCAUAGGAGGUAAUGUUCUUUAUUGAGGCUUGUCUAAUAACGAUGGCCUGAGAUUGAAAACUUCAAUACUCUGCUUCAAAUACUCAAAAAUCUGCAUAUUUGAUAGGAGGUAAGUGUUCUUUAUUGAGGCUUGUCUAAUAACGAUGGCCUGUGAUUGAUAAAUUCAAUUCUCUGCUUCAAAUAUUCAAGAAUCUGCAUAUUUGAUAGGAGGUAAGUGUUCUUUAUUGAGGCUAGUUUUUUAACGAUGGCCUGAGAUUGAAAACUUCAGUUCUCUGCUUCAAAUACUCAAGAAUCUUCAUAUUCAUAGGAGGUAAUGUUCUUUAUUGAGGCUUGUCUAAUAAUGAUGGCCUGAGAUUGAAAACUUCAAUACUUUGCUUCAAAUACUCAAGAAUCUGCAUAUUCAUAGGAGGUAAUGUUCUUUAUUGAGGCUUAUCUUAUAACGAUGGCCUCAGAUUGAUCAACAUUCUACUUUAAAUACUCAAGAAUGUGCAUAUUGACAGGAGGUAAUGUUCUUUAUUUAGGCUUGUCUAAUAACGAUGGCCUGAGAUUCAAAACUUCAAUACUAUGCUUCAAAUACUCAAGAAUCGGCAUAUUUGAUAGGAGUUAAGUGUUCUUUAUUGAGGCUUGGCUAACAACGAUUACCUGAGAUUGAUAAAUUCAAUUAUCUGCUUCAAAUACUCAAGAAUCUCCAUAUUCAUAGGAGGUAAUGUUCUUUAUAUAGGCUUGUCUAAUAACGAUAGCCUGAGAUUGAAAACUUCAAUACUCUGCUUCAAAUACUCAAGAAUCUCCAUAUUCAUAGGAGGUAAUGUUCUUUAUAUAGGCUUGUCUAAUAACGAUAGCCUGAGAUUGAAAACUUCAAUACUCUGCUUCAAAUACUCAAGAAUCUCCAUAUUCAUAGGAGGUAAUGUUCUUUAUAUAGGCUUGUCUAAUAACGAUAGCCUGAGAUUGAAAACUUCAAUACUCUGCUUCAAAUACUCAAGAAUCUCCAUAUUCAUAGGAGGUAAUGUUCUUUAUAUAGGCUUGUCUAAUAACGAUAGCCUGAGAUUGAAAACUUCAAUACUCUGCUUCAAAUACUCAAGAAUCUGCAUAUUUGAUAGGAGGUAAUGUUCUUUAUUGAGGCUUGUCUAAUAACGAUGGCCUGAGAUUUAUAAAUUCAAUACUUUGCUUCAAAUACUCAAGAAUCUGCAUAUUUGAUAGGAGGUAAUGUUCUUUAUUGAGGCUUGUCUAAUAACGAUGGCCUGAGAUUAAAAAAUUCAAUUCUCUGCUUCAAAUACUCAAGAAUCUGCAUAUUGGCAGGAGGUAAGUGUUCUUUAUUGAGGCUUGUCUAAUAACGAUGGCCUGAGAUUAAAAAAUUCAAUUCUCUGCUUCAAAUACUCAAGAAUCUGCAUAUUGGCAGGAGGUAAGUGUUCUUUAUUGAGGCUUGUCUAAUAACGAUGGCCUAAGAUUGAAAAUUUCAAUUCUCUGCUUCAAAUACUCAAGAAUCUGCAUAUUCAUAGGAGGUAAUGUUCUUUAUUAAGGCUUUUCUAUUGAAGUCUGAUUGGGAAAUUCAAUAUUCUGCUUAGAUCUGCCAUUAAAAAGGCUUGUCGAAAUAGGUCUCAAAUUUCAAGAAAUUCAAGUUGGGACUUCAUGAAUAGCAUUUUUUUCUCCUUUGUGCCUAGCUCUUGCAGCUCAUCUGUUCAGCGAAGGCACAUCAUUGUGCAACGCUUGAUGGAUUCGAGGCUCGAGCAAAUCACUUAAGAGAGAGAGAAGAAGGUAGAGAAUGUUCAGAUAUCUGCUUAGUACAAGAAUAUGACGUCUUGGUAAGGAGGUAUGUAUUCCAACUACAUUGUACUGCAUAUUUACUUAUGUUACAUUAACCCAGCGCAAUGUUGGAUUUUGGCAUUGGUCUAAGAGCAAUGGUAAGUGAUUUUUUUCUUUCUUAUGUGCAUUUCUUACAAAUGUUAUAUCAUUAUAGAAUAAACCAAUCUCUGCGUACCUUAAUUUGUUCUAAUUAACCACAUCUUUUGGUGACUUGUUCUUAACAGGGAUAUUGCAAAAAUUCCAAUUUGUAGAUUCUAUCUUUGCCGCUUCUCAUCAGCAAUUUUUGUCUCUUGAAAAGAAAGCUCUGGUUUCUCAGCAUGAGUUCGUUUAAGGUUUGAGUCAGAGACCAAAUGACUUUUUUUUCCUUGUAAUGAUUCAUAGAUUGUUCCUCGUGAAGUUCAGAUACUAAGCGAAAAGAGAGGCAAGUUGCUGGAUCUCAAAUAAGGACAUUUGGUGGCACUGAUACAUGAAUAAUCUAUCUUUGGUACAUGUUCUUUUUCUCUGUUUUCAAUAUCUUAAUGUUGUUGCUUGGAUUUUAAUUCUUUGUAGUACUAGAAUAAGAUGUGGUGUUGGCAAUGUCCAAGUCUUAAACCAAAAUUCAGCCGCUUUUGAUCAGGAACUAAAGGUUGCUAUAUCCCCAAGUCCACUCUAAGGUACUAGUACUACUGACUUUCUGAUCCAUUUGUGUUCUUAAAGCUUAUCGACUUCUUUGAAACUAAAGACAUGAUUUGAGCUUUUUCGGUGCACGCCGUCUUCAAUACCAGUUUUUGCAAGUAAGUAAUCCUUAAGUUUGCUACUUCGUUUGAUAUAUGUUAAUGCAUGCAUUUUUCAGAAUUUUCAUCUUCAGAGCAAAACUUUGGUGUACUUCAGCGGUACACUCUUCUCUUUCUAAGGUAUGAUUUAGACGUGUUUUUUUUAGGUUGAUUAUUUGCUUUAGGAUUAAAUAAAACCUCUAUUAAGCUAACAAAUCUUUGAUGAUAACUAACUAAUAUAAACAUAAACGCAUACACGAAGGUGAACACAUACACGAAGGUGAACACAUACACUAAACGCUAACAUAAUUGCAUAUAUGUUGAAUUCGUCACUCUCACUUUAGUUUCAGGUUUGUUUUCACUCACUUUUUCUCUGUUCUUUCUUCAAAACGUUUUUCUUCUUAACACACCUCCAUUUUCAUUAAUUUUUCUUUAACCUUACACACACAUACAUAUAGUACUUCUUUUCUAGCUACACACACUUGCACUUACAUUUACACUUUUACCUUACCUCUAGAUGCUAGGUUCCAACCCACACAAACAACCCUUAACUACUCCCUUAGACUACAACACCAACACACUAAAUCACUUGGGCCUAACUUGAUCUGUAGGCCCAUUAGUCUUAUUACAACAAAAUAGCUUGAAGCCCAACUUCUUCUUCUCGUUAACUUCUCUCUGUCUUCUCCGAUUCCUUCUUCUUCUUCUUCUUCUACUUCUGUAUUUCUUUGUCCUUCAUCAUCCUCUUAUGAUUCUCGUCUUCUUUUACUUUUUCAGGAACAAUAAAGGAGUCAACCUCAACAAUAUACACGUAAGUGAACACAUACACUUAACGCAAACAUAAUUAUUGUGCUCACAAAAAAAAAAAAAAAA